AAACCCUUUGAUUUUGGGGGUUGAAAGAUGCCGGUUAUUUUUUAAUACAUGCUAGUAACAAGCGAAUAGGUGAGUAAGUAUGUGAUCAUCACAAAAUGUUACCAGGUGAGGUUAUCGUAAAAUUUUAAUCCUCCUAAGACGACUAGGUUACCCCACAUUUUCACUGAAACAAAGGGAAAUAAACAGCAGCAGUAUAGAAUAUUGUGCAAUCCACUAGAGUGGGACACAGAAAAUAACCACUGGAUUGUCUAAUCAGGUGCCAGCAGACGCGGUUAUACCUGAGAUUCUGGUUUUUUCGGAAAAAGGGCCUUAAGAGUGUGAACAAAACGUAAGUAGGGGUUAGAAAAUUGACGUAGCAGUAGAAUGUAAUUAUGUCAGGUUGAAUGUCAAGGCCUGCAACCCCUUUUAUAUUCAUAACACUAAACAAUAGAAAGUAAAUAGGAUUAGAUACCCUAGUAGCCUAUUGCCUAAAUAAAGAAGUCUUUGUAAAAGAUAUAUUCGCCUGAGUAUUAUAAUCAACUGAUUGAAAUUCAAAAAAUCUGGCUGUUCGUUUUCCAUUUAGAGGAUUGUGUGCUUUAAAUCGAUAAUCCGCGAAUUACCUUACCUAACUUAGACAUCAGGUGCUGCAUGGCCGUCUUCAGUUUGUGUAUGAGACAAACAGACCAAACUUUAUAAAAAACAAAGUCAGGUUGUAUGGUCUUUAUAGUUAGGGAGUCAUGCAAUACAUUAUUUUUCGCAACAAAAACGAAAAUUCAGAUAGAGACUGUAAUAUAUCUAGAAAGCUGAAUUUAAAAGUAAUCACAAGCAGAAAAUUGUGGUGAAGAGGUUCAAACGUUAGCACAAAUCGCCCGUCACCUUUUGUAAUCAAUAACACCUCAUGGAAAAGAGAUGUAAAUUUGAGAACCAAAGCAAGUCGUAACAUAGUGAGGGGAAGGGAACUUCCUCUUGGAAU
RNAcentral lists this ribosomal RNA (952 nucleotides) under Pelagia noctiluca. Its description in RNAcentral is "small subunit ribosomal RNA". It matches the Rfam family "Bacterial small subunit ribosomal RNA". The record is from RNAcentral. Lineage: Eukaryota; Metazoa; Cnidaria; Scyphozoa; Semaeostomeae; Pelagiidae.